GUCUACGCCCAUGCUACCCCGAACAAGCCCGAUCCUGUCUGAUCUCGGAAGCUAAGCAGGGUUGGGUCUGGUUAGUACUUGGGAGACCACUUAGGAAGACCAGGUGCUGUAGACG
RNAcentral lists this ribosomal RNA (115 nucleotides) under Pteropus alecto (black flying fox). Lineage: Eukaryota; Metazoa; Chordata; Mammalia; Chiroptera; Pteropodidae. The record is from RNAcentral.